This 280-nucleotide ribosomal RNA is filed under the name uncultured soil bacterium. Its description in RNAcentral is "partial 16S ribosomal RNA". It matches the Rfam family "Bacterial small subunit ribosomal RNA", at positions 26 to 293 of the family's 1533-position model. The record is from RNAcentral.
AGAUUGAACGCUGGCGGAAUGCUUUACACAUGCAAGUCGAACGGCAGCACGGGACUCAGGCAACUGAGCCCUGGUGGCGAGUGGCGAACGGGUGAGUAACAUAUCGGAACGUACCCAGUCGUGGGGGAUAACUCUCCGAAAGGAGAGCUAAUACCGCAUACGUCCUGAGGAGAAGCGGGGACCUAAGGUACUGAGGCCUCGCGCGAUGGAGCGGCGAUAUCGGAUUAGCUAGUUGGUAGAGGUAAAGGCUACACCAAGGCGACGAGUCCGUAGGCGGGUC